AUACGGAGGGUGCGAGCGUUAAUCGGAAUAACUGGGCGUAAAGGGCACGCAGGCGGUGACUUAAGUGAGGUGUGAAAGCCCCGGGCUUAACCUGGGAAUUGCAUUUCAUACUGGGUCGCUAGAGUACUUUAGGGAGGGGUAGAAUUCCACGUGUAGCGGUGAAAUGCGUAGAGAUGUGGAGGAAUACCGAAGGCGAAGGUAGCCCCUUGGGAAUGUACUGACGCUCAUGUGCGAAAGCGUGGGGAGCAAACAGGAUUAGAUACCCUGGUAGUCCACGCUGUAAACGAUGUCGAUUUGGGGGUUGAGCUUUAAGCUUGGCGCCCGUAGCUAACGUGAUAAAUCGACCGCCUGGGGAGUACGGCCGCAAGGUUAAA
This 374-nucleotide ribosomal RNA is filed under the name uncultured bacterium. RNAcentral describes it as "bacterial SSU rRNA". It matches the Rfam family "Bacterial small subunit ribosomal RNA", at positions 523 to 898 of the family's 1533-position model. The record is from RNAcentral.